Molecule: transfer RNA, 67 nt
Filed under: Steromphala umbilicaris
Lineage: Eukaryota; Metazoa; Mollusca; Gastropoda; Trochida; Trochidae
Description: tRNA-Asn
Source: RNAcentral
UGGAUGGAAGCCAAUUAGGCACCUAGCUGUUAAUUAGACUUCUGCAGCUCUUUUGCUGCCCAUUCAG